GGCUCCAUAGCUCAGGGGCUAGAGCAUUGGUCUUGUAAACCAGGGGUCGUGAGUUCAACUCUCGCUGGGGCCU
Molecule: transfer RNA, 73 nt
Filed under: Chelydra serpentina (North American snapping turtle)
Lineage: Eukaryota; Metazoa; Chordata; Testudines; Chelydridae
Description: tRNA-Thr
Rfam family: tRNA
About the family: Transfer RNA (tRNA) molecules are approximately 80 nucleotides in length.
Source: RNAcentral